RNAcentral lists this transfer RNA (72 nucleotides) under Stegodyphus mimosarum. It matches the Rfam family "tRNA". From Rfam's summary of the family: Transfer RNA (tRNA) molecules are approximately 80 nucleotides in length. Their secondary structure includes four short double-helical elements and three loops (D, anti-codon, and T loops). The record is from Rfam by way of RNAcentral. Lineage: Eukaryota; Metazoa; Arthropoda; Arachnida; Araneae; Eresidae.
GCCUUCGUGGUGUAGUGGUCAGCACGCUGGGCGACUAUCCAGAGGUCUGUGGUUCGAGUCCCGACGAAGGCG